CGAACGAGUUCUGAUUAUUGAAAGGUGCUUGCAUCUUGAUUUAAUUUUGAACGAGUGGCGGACGGGUGAGUAACACGUGGGUAACCUGCCCUUAAGUGGGGGAUAACAUUUGGAAACAGAUGCUAAUACCGCAUAAAUCCAAGAACCGCAUGGUUCUUGGCUGAAAGAUGGCGUAAGCUAUCGCUUUUGGAUGGACCCGCGGCGUAUUAGCUAGUUGGUGAGGUAACGGCUCACCAAGGCAAUGAUACGUAGCCGAACUGAGAGGUUGAUCGGCCACAUUGGGACUGAGACACGGCCCAAACUCCUACGGGAGGCAGCAGUAGGGAAUCUUCCACAAUGGACGCAAGUCUGAUGGAGCAACGCCGCGUGAGUGAAGAAGGCUUUCGGGUCGUAAAACUCUGUUGUUGGAGAAGAAUGGUCGGCAGAGUAACUGUUGUCGGCGUGACGGUAUCCAACCAGAAAGCCACGGCUAACUACGUGCCAGCAGCCGCGGUAAUACGUAGGUGGCAAGCGUUAUCCGGAUUUAUUGGGCGUAAAGCGAGCGCAGGCGGUUUUUUAAGUCUGAUGUGAAAGCCCUCGGCUUAACCGAGGAAGUGCAUCGGAAACUGGGAAACUUGAGUGCAGAAGAGGACAGUGGAACUCCAUGUGUAGCGGUGAAAUGCGUAGAUAUAUGGAAGAACACCAGUGGCGAAGGCGGCUGUCUGGUCUGUAACUGACGCUGAGGCUCGAAAGCAUGGGUAGCGAACAGGAUUAGAUACCCUGGUAGUCCAUGCCGUAAACGAUGAAUGCUAGGUGUUGGAGGGUUUCCGCCCUUCAGUGCCGCAGCUAACGCAUUAAGCAUUCCGCCUGGGGAGUACGACCGCAAGGUUGAAACUCAAAGGAAUUGACGGGGGCCCGCACAAGCGGUGGAGCAUGUGGUUUAAUUCGAAGCAACGCGAAGAACCUUACCAGGUCUUGACAUCUUUUGAUCACCUGAGAGAUCAGGUUUCCCCUUCGGGGGCAAAAUGACAGGUGGUGCAUGGUUGUCGUCAGCUCGUGUCGUGAGAUGUUGGGUUAAGUCCCGCAACGAGCGCAACCCUUAUGACUAGUUGCCAGCAUUUAGUUGGGCACUCUAGUAAGACUGCCGGUGACAAACCGGAGGAAGGUGGGGAUGACGUCAAAUCAUCAUGCCCCUUAUGACCUGGGCUACACACGUGCUACAAUGGAUGGUACAACGAGUUGCGAGACCGCGAGGUCAAGCUAAUCUCUUAAAGCCAUUCUCAGUUCGGACUGUAGGCUGCAACUCGCCUACACGAAGUCGGAAUCGCUAGUAAUCGCGGAUCAGCACGCCGCGGUGAAUACGUUCCCGGGCCUUGUACACACCGCCCGUCACACCAUGAGAGUUUGUAACACCCGAAGCCGGUGGCGUAACCCUUUUAGGGAGCGAGCCGUCUAAGGUGGGACAAAUGAUUAGGGUGAAGUCGUAACAAGGUAGCCGUAGGAGAACCUGCGGCUGGAUCACCUCCUUU
Molecule: ribosomal RNA, 1508 nt
Filed under: Lacticaseibacillus rhamnosus
Lineage: Bacteria; Bacillati; Bacillota; Bacilli; Lactobacillales; Lactobacillaceae
Description: bacterial SSU rRNA
Rfam family: Bacterial small subunit ribosomal RNA
Source: RNAcentral